GACUCAGGUUCGACCUAGGUUUGACCUAGGUUUGACCUAGGUUUGACUAGCUUUGACCUGUCCUAGGUUUGACUAGGUUCAACCUAGGUUC
Molecule: non-coding RNA, 91 nt
Organism: Paramuricea clavata
Lineage: Eukaryota; Metazoa; Cnidaria; Anthozoa; Malacalcyonacea; Plexauridae
Source: the annotation of a GenBank genome assembly